RNAcentral lists this unclassified non-coding RNA (419 nucleotides) under Hevea brasiliensis (rubber tree). Lineage: Eukaryota; Viridiplantae; Streptophyta; Magnoliopsida; Malpighiales; Euphorbiaceae. The record is from RNAcentral.
GUUUAAUAGAAUUGGAAAAUUGGAGGAGUGUUCUUCUUUCAGAUGCCAAAAUAAUAGCAUGCAUGUGUGAUUUAAAUGUAAGAUCUAAAUAAAUCACAGGUUUGUAUGAUACUCUGACUGUUUAGUGACUACAACAUUUCAGCUCAAUAGUGAUGAUUAUCUAGAGUUUUAUAACUGUAUUAAUUAAUUAAUCUGGUUGUAGUGCAAAGUUAAUCUAAUCAUUCAAUGGGUUAGAUGGUUCAUAAAUGCUGUGUUCUGGCUUUUUAAAAGGUGAAAGUAAAUACCUAUAAUUGUUGGAUGAAAGAUACCCUUCCCAACAGGCUUGCAGCCUUACUUACUGUUAGAGAAACGGGGAGAAUCCUUCUUGAUGAGUCUUGUGAAAUAAUACACUCUUAGGCUUGACACCACAUGUAAUCCAA